AUCGUAGUCAGCGUGACUAGCUCCUGCUGAACUCCCCCAGGGUCGGAAGGCAGCAAGGGUAGGUGGUUGAGCGGUGUAUUGCUGGCUACAUUUUUU
This 96-nucleotide signal recognition particle RNA is filed under the name Bernardetia litoralis DSM 6794. RNAcentral's name for it is "Bacterial signal recognition particle RNA". It matches the Rfam family "Bacterial small signal recognition particle RNA". Rfam says of the family: The signal recognition particle (SRP) is a universally conserved ribonucleoprotein involved in the co-translational targeting of proteins to membranes. Archaeal SRP consists of a 7S RNA and homologues of the eukaryotic SRP19 and SRP54 proteins. Lineage: Bacteria; Pseudomonadati; Bacteroidota; Cytophagia; Cytophagales; Bernardetiaceae. The record is from RNAcentral.